GCAGACUAGAGUGAUGUAGGGGAGACUGGAAUUCCUGGUGUAGCGGUGAAAUGCGCAGAUAUCAGGAGGAACACCGAUGGCGAAGGCAGGUCUCUGGGCAUUAACUGACGCUGAGGAGCGAAAGCAUGGGGAGCGAACAGGAUUAGAUACCCUGGUAGUCCAUGCCGUAAACGUUGGGCACUAGGUGUGGGGGACAUUCCACGUUUUCCGCGCCGUAGCUAACGCAUUAAGUGCCCCGCCUGGGGAGUACGGCCGCAAGGCUAAAACUCAAAGGAAUUGACGGGGGCCCGCACAAGCGGCGGAGCAUGCGGAUUAAUUCGAUGCAACGCGAAGAACCUUACCAAGGCUUGACAUGGACCGGACCGCCGCAGAAAUGUGGUUUCCCCUUUGGGGCCGGUUCACAGGUGGUGCAUGGUUGUCGUCAGCUCGUGUCGUGAGAUGUUGGGUUAAGUCCCGCAACGAGCGCAACCCUCGUUCUAUGUUGCCAGCGCGUGAUGGCGGGGACUCAUAGGAGACUGCCGGGGUCAACUCGGAGGAAGGUGGGGACGACGUCAAAUCAUCAUGCCCCUUAUGUCUUGGGCUUCACGCAUGCUACAAUGGCCGGUACAAAGGGUUGCGAUACUGUGAGGUGGAGCUAAUCCCAAAAAGCCGGUCUCAGUUCGGAUUGGGGUCUGCAACUCGACCCCAUGAAGUCGGAGUCGCUAGUAAUCGCAGAUCAGCAACGCUGCGGUGAAUACGUUCCCGGGCCUUGUACACACCGCCCGUCAAGUCACGAAAGUUGGUAACACCCGAAGCCGGUGGCAGUAACUGCUUUGUGCUCGAGAGC
Molecule: ribosomal RNA, 826 nt
Filed under: Arthrobacter sp. mf2-1
Lineage: Bacteria; Bacillati; Actinomycetota; Actinomycetes; Micrococcales; Micrococcaceae
Also listed under: 1 other name
Description: bacterial SSU rRNA
Rfam family: Bacterial small subunit ribosomal RNA
Source: RNAcentral